AUGGACAAGGAGCAACAGCGCCAUGACGAGCUCCAGGCGCCGCUGCUUCCCGGCGACGGCGGGAAGGCCGCCGCCGCGGCCGGAAGCGCUUACGCGCUCGUCUGCUCCCUGGUCGCCUCCGCCAUCUCCGUCAUCUACGGUUACAAUCGAGGUGUGAUGAGCGGGGCGCAGAAGUUCAUGCAGGACGACCUGGGUAUCAGCGACGCGCAGAUCGAGGUGCUCAUCGGGGCCACCAGCAUCUACUCCCUCGUCGGCUCGCUGGCCGCGGGCUGGGCGUGCGACUGCGCCGGGCGCCGCCGCACUAUGGCGCUCUCCGCUGCCAUGUUCUUCGCCGGCUCGGCGAUCACCAGCGUCGCGGGAGGAUACGCGGUGCUGAUGGCCGGACAGCUCGUCGCCGGUGUUGCCUGUGGGUUCGGCCUCGUCGUCGCGCCCGUCUACAUCGCCGAGAUGGCGCCGGCGGCGUCCCGUGGCUUCCUCUCCUCCAUUCCAGAGAUCGCGGGCAACACGGGCAUUCUGCUCAGCUACAUCGCCGACUCCGCCCUUGCCGGCUUCCCCAACAACGUCAACUGGCGCCUAAUGAUCGGCGUCGGCGCCGUCCCGCCGCUAUUUCUCGCGGUCGCCACGCUCCUCGCCAUGCCGGAGACCCCGCGCUGGCUCGUACUCCACGGCCACCACGACGAAGCACGCCGUGUCCUCGCCCGCACCACGGGCGAUGCGGCCCUCGCUGACCGCCGCCUCAAGGAGAUCGUUUCCUCCGCGCGGGAAAGCUCCAAGCAGGCCGUUCCCGGCGGCAGCGACGGGACGACCCGGUCCACAAGCGUCUGGCGCGACAUACUGAUCCGGCCGACGCGGUCUGUCCGUCGCGUGCUGCUCGCCAUCCUCGGCCUCCAGUUCUUCCAGCAGGCGUCCGGCGUCGCGGCGCUCGUGUUGUACGCGCCGCGGGUGUUCCACCACGCCGGAGUGACCUCCCAGUCUGCGGUUCUCGGUGCCACGAUCCUCCUCGGCGUCGCCAAGAUUGUGGCCAUUGUGAUCCCGCUCUUUCUGGCUGACGGCUGGGCCGGCGUCCCAUGCUGCUCACCAGUGCGGGCGGCAUGA
RNAcentral lists this ribosomal RNA (1095 nucleotides) under Triticum aestivum (bread wheat). RNAcentral's name for it is "partial small subunit ribosomal RNA". Lineage: Eukaryota; Viridiplantae; Streptophyta; Magnoliopsida; Poales; Poaceae. The record is from RNAcentral.